AGCACUGGACCUUGUCAAGAAGUUGUUGGUAGUGGAUCCAAAGGCACGUUUUAUGAGAGAAGAAGCCUUAAGACACCGUGGCUUCAGGAUGAAGACAUGAAGAGAAAGUUUCAAGAUCUUCUGUCUGAGGAAAAUGAGUCCACAGCUCUAUCUCAGGUUCUAGCCCAGCCUUCUACUAGUCGAAAGCGGCCUCAUGAAGGGGAAGCCGAGGGUGCCGAGACCACAAAGCGCCCGGCUGUGUUGUGA
RNAcentral lists this long non-coding RNA (246 nucleotides) under Homo sapiens (human). RNAcentral's name for it is "non-protein coding lnc-ZNF37A-5:3". Lineage: Eukaryota; Metazoa; Chordata; Mammalia; Primates; Hominidae. The record is from RNAcentral.